RNAcentral lists this ribosomal RNA (776 nucleotides) under uncultured Neocallimastigales. Its description in RNAcentral is "partial large subunit ribosomal RNA". It matches the Rfam family "Eukaryotic large subunit ribosomal RNA", at positions 26 to 645 of the family's 3401-position model. Lineage: Eukaryota; Fungi; Neocallimastigomycota; Neocallimastigomycetes; Neocallimastigales. The record is from RNAcentral.
CGUCUAUAUACGUAUAGCAUAUCAAUAAGCGGAGGAAAAGAAACUAACUAGGAUUCCCUCAGUAACGGCGAGUGAAGCGGGAAGAGCUCAAAUUUGAAAUCUUCAAGGUUCUACCUUGACGAAUUGUAGUUUAAAGAAGUGUUUUCUGUUGAAGUUUUGGUAAAAGUUCUUUGGAAUAGGACAUCAUAGAGGGUGAGAAUCCCGUAUUUGACCAGUUAUUUCCAGCUGCUGUGAUACACUUUCAAAGAGUCGGAUUGUUUGGGAAUGCAGUCCAAAAUGGGUGGUAAAUUUCAUCUAAAGCUAAAUAUUGGCGAGAGACCGAUAGCGAACAAGUACCGUGAGGGAAAGAUGAAAAGAACUUUGAAAAGAGAGUUAAACAGUACGUGAAAUUGUCAAAAGGGAAGCGUUUGACACCAGUGUUGUUUUCUCGAAAAUCAAUUAAAAAAAGGCCGGAUUUUGUGUUGUAUUGACUUUAUCAGCUUUCUGCACUCUUUUCUUGUCUUUUUUAAUGCACUUUUCGUUUAACAAGUCAACAUCAAUUUCUUUUGUUGUAAAAGGGUCAUUGGAAGGUGGCUUUCUUUUCGGAGAAAGUGUUUAUAGCCUUUGGCCUCUGCAAUCGGAGAGAUUGAGGUCUGCAGCGUAGAUCCUUCGGGGUUAGAUACAUUUGUGCUAAGUUAUAGCCUUUCAUAGACAACUUGUUGACUAUGAUCAGUCAUGUAGCUUACUCACUUAUGCUAUUUUACCUACCUUAGGAUGUUGAAGUCAUCGUAUCGCGC